This 433-nucleotide ribosomal RNA is filed under the name uncultured bacterium. Its description in RNAcentral is "partial 16S ribosomal RNA". It matches the Rfam family "Bacterial small subunit ribosomal RNA", at positions 29 to 507 of the family's 1533-position model. The record is from RNAcentral.
AACGAACGCUGGCGGCAUGCCUAACACAUGCAAGUCGAACGAGACCUUCGGGUCUAGUGGCGCACGGGUGCGUAACGCGUGGGAACCUGCCCUUAGGUUCGGAAUAACUCCCCGAAAGGGGUGCUAAUACCGGAUAAUGUCUUCGGACCAAAGAUUUAUCGCCUUUGGAUGGGCCCGCGUUGGAUUAGCUAGUUGGUAGGGUAAAAGCCUACCAAGGCGACGAUCCAUAGCUGGUCUGAGAGGAUGAUCAGCCACACUGGGACUGAGACACGGCCCAGACUCCUACGGAAGGCAGCAGUGGGGAAUAUUGGACAAUGGGCGAAAGCCUGAUCCAGCAAUGCCGCGUGAGUGAUGAAGGCCUUAGGGAUGUAAAGCUCUUUUACCCGGGAUGAUAAUGACAGUACCGGGAGAAUAAGCUCCGGCUAACUCCGUG